RNAcentral lists this ribosomal RNA (463 nucleotides) under uncultured bacterium. Its description in RNAcentral is "partial 16S ribosomal RNA". It matches the Rfam family "Bacterial small subunit ribosomal RNA", at positions 28 to 507 of the family's 1533-position model. The record is from RNAcentral.
GAUGAACGCUGACAGAAUGCUUAACACAUGCAAGUCGAUGGGGAAGUGGUGCUUGCGCCAUGGCAACCAUGGCGGACGGGUGAGUAACGCGCAAGGGACUUACCUGCAGGACUGGGAUAACUGGGGGAAACUCCUGACAAGACCGGAUAAUGUCAUGGAGCUGCAUGGCUUUAUGAUGAAAGGAGACGCCUGCGGAGAGCCUUGCGUCCUAUUAGCUAGUUGGUGAGGUAAUGGCUCACCAAGGCGAAGAUAGUGAGCAGGCCUGAGAGGAUGGACGGCCACAAGGGGACGGAGAUACGGCGGUGACGCCUACGAGAGGCAGCAGUGGGGAAUAAUGGAGGAUGGGGGCAACACUGAUGCAGCAAUUCUGUGUGGACGAAGAAGGUUUUCGGAGUGUAAAGAGGUUUCAGUAGGGAAGAAGUAAGUGACGGUACCGGGAGAAGAAGCGACGGCUAAAUACGUG